AGAGCGAACGCUGGCGGCAGGCCUAACACAUGCAAGUCGAGCGCCGUAGCAAUACGGAGCGGCAGACGGGAGAGUAACACGUGGGAACGUACCUUUCAGUUCGGAACAACCCAGGGAAACUUGGGCUAAUACCGGAUACGCCCUUACGGGGAAAGAUUUAUCGCUGAAAGAUCGGCCCGCGUCUGAUUAGCUAGUUGGUGGGGUAACGGCCCACCAAGGCUACGAUCAGUAGCUGGUCUGAGAGGAUGAUCAGCCUCACUGGGACUGAGACACGGCCCAGACUCCUACGGGAGGCAGCAGUGGGGAAUAUUGGACAAUGGGCGCAAGCCUGAUCCAGCCAUGCCGCGUGGAUGAUGAAGGCCCUAGGGUUGUAAAGUCCUUUCGGCGGGGAAGAUAAUGACGGUACCCGCAGAAGAAGCCCCGGCUAACUUCGUGCCAGCAGCCGC
Molecule: ribosomal RNA, 446 nt
Filed under: uncultured bacterium
Lineage: Bacteria
Description: SSU rRNA
Rfam family: Bacterial small subunit ribosomal RNA
Source: RNAcentral